CCUACGGGAGGCUGCAGUGUGGAAUAUUGGACAAUGGGGGCAACCCUGAUCCAGCCAUGCCGCGUGUGUGAAGAAGGCCCUCGGGUUGUAAAGCACUUUCAGUGAGGAAGAACGCCUGGUGGUUAAUACCCAUCAGGAAAGACAUCACUCACAGAAGAAGCACCGGCUAACUCCGUGCCAGCAGCCGCGGUAAUACGGAGGGUGCGAGCGUUAAUCGGAAUUACUGGGCGUAAAGCGCGCGUAGGUGGCUUGAUAAGCCGGUUGUGAAAGCCCCGGGCUCAACCUGGGAACGGCAUCCGGAACUGUCAAGCUAGAGUGCAGGAGAGGAAGGUAGAAUUCCCGGUGUAGCGGUGAAAUGCGUAGAGAUCGGGAGGAAUACCAGUGGCGAAGGCGGCCUUCUGGACUGACACUGACACUGAGGUGCGAAAGCGUGGGUAGCAAACAGGAUUAGAUACCCGUGUAGUC
This 465-nucleotide ribosomal RNA is filed under the name Vreelandella stevensii. RNAcentral describes it as "partial 16S ribosomal RNA". It matches the Rfam family "Bacterial small subunit ribosomal RNA", at positions 338 to 795 of the family's 1533-position model. The record is from RNAcentral. Lineage: Bacteria; Pseudomonadati; Pseudomonadota; Gammaproteobacteria; Oceanospirillales; Halomonadaceae.